UGUUUUAAUAAUUUAAAAAAAAUACUGAUCUUGUAAAUCAGAAUUAAGAUUUUAUUCUUUUAAAAC
RNAcentral lists this transfer RNA (66 nucleotides) under Coleoptera sp. ACP-2013. RNAcentral describes it as "tRNA-Thr". Lineage: Eukaryota; Metazoa; Arthropoda; Insecta; Coleoptera. The record is from RNAcentral.